RNAcentral lists this ribosomal RNA (468 nucleotides) under uncultured bacterium. RNAcentral's name for it is "partial 16S ribosomal RNA". It matches the Rfam family "Bacterial small subunit ribosomal RNA", at positions 28 to 507 of the family's 1533-position model. The record is from RNAcentral.
GACGAACGCUGGCGGCGUGCUUAACACAUGCAAGUCGAACGGAAAGGCCCUGCUUUUGUGGGGUGCUUGAGUGGCGAACGGGUGAGUAACGCGUGAGUAACCUGCCCUUGACUUUGGGAUAACUUCAGGAAACUGGGGCUAAUACCGGAUAGGAGCUCCUGCUGCAUGGUGGGGGUUGGAAAGUUUCGGCGGUUGGGGAUGGACUCGCGGCUUAUCAGCUUGUUGGUGGGGUAGUGGCUUACCAAGGCUUUGACGGGUAGCCGGCCUGAGAGGGUGACCGGCCACAUUGGGACUGAGAUACGGCCCAGACUCCUACGGGAGGCAGCAGUGGGGAAUAUUGCACAAUGGGCGGAAGCCUGAUGCAGCAACGCCGCGUGCGGGAUGACGGCCUUCGGGUUGUAAACCGCUUUCGCCUGUGACGAAGCGUGAGUGACGGUAAUGGGUAAAGAAGCACCGGCUAACUACGUG